Molecule: ribosomal RNA, 489 nt
Filed under: uncultured bacterium
Lineage: Bacteria
Description: bacterial SSU rRNA
Rfam family: Bacterial small subunit ribosomal RNA
Source: RNAcentral
GACGACGCUGGCGGCGUGGAUUAGGCAUGCAAGUCGAACGGUAGGAUCCUUUCGGGGAUCUGAGAGUGGACGAACGGGUGAGUAACACGUAGGUGAUCUACCCUCAAGACGGGGACAACCCAGGGAAACUUGGGGCUAAUACCGGAUGUGAGCUAUCGCGAGAUAGUUUGAAAGGUGGCUUCGGCUGCCGCUUGAGGAUGAGCCUGCGUCCUAUUAGCUAGUUGGUGAGGUAACGGCUCACCGAGGCAGUGAUAGGUAGGCGGCCUUAACGGGUGGUCGCCCACACUGGGAUUGAGAUACGGCCCAGACUCCUACGGGAGGCAGCAGUCGAGAAUAGUCUACAAUGGUCGAAAGACUGAUAGUGCGACGCCGCGUGAACGAAGAAGCCCUUCGGGGUGUAAAGUUCUUUUAUAUGUGAGCAGUGACACCCAUAUUAAUAGUAUGGGUGUAGAGAUAUUAGCAUAUGAAUAAGCAACGGCUAACUCCGUG